AUAGAAUCCAGCAACCAUGGCUAGCAUUACAAUGGUGCAAGUGUAGGAGUUAUUGAUAGGUAUCCCUUCAGGAGUCUGUUGAAUCAUCCAUUGAAAUGCAGGCAUGGAGAUGAAUAUGAUAGCAAGCAAUAAGGCAAGGAUUCCUAAAGCAUCUGUAAGCAAUUUAUCCUGUAGCCCAACCACGGUGGAAGUAGAUAUGAGAAAUGCCCCCCAAAAAAAUCAGCAACUAAUGCUGAUGAAAGGCCUAGUCGACCAAGUUCUGAAUUUGUGAUUUUGAGUUGUUCAAUGAUGUAGGAAUGACAGGGAAGUGAGUGGCAGAUUGGAAAUUGAGUCACACGAAAACUUAUUAUUGAGUUUUCUUGGUUUCCUGUAUCAUCUUUUACAGCUGCUCUGUAAGCUAAACCAGAUAUAAAUGGCAACAGUACUAU
Molecule: unclassified non-coding RNA, 428 nt
Filed under: Hevea brasiliensis (rubber tree)
Lineage: Eukaryota; Viridiplantae; Streptophyta; Magnoliopsida; Malpighiales; Euphorbiaceae
Source: RNAcentral